ACCAGAUCUCGGUGGAGGAGCUGAACGACCUCCUGGCCAACGGCAGCGGCUGCUACAGCCUCCCCAGCGCGCACAGCAACGAGGUGGUGCCGCGCAUCCACGUGGGGAACGCGAACCAGAUGAAGCUGAUGUUAGCAUCUCUCUGCUAUUUGGAGAAGCUAGCAUUUCAACAUUGAACAUGAUGCAGCUGGAAUGAAAUGUUAAGGAUGAGAGAGAUCCAAGGACUGUUUGGGAAGGGAGAAACAAAUGGCAUACAAAUACAGUCUUUUUCACCUCUAGCUGUGAUUUUUGUGUUGCAAGCAGAAUUCCCCAGACACUGAUACUUGCACCAUGGCACAGAUGAUGUCCUGCCAGAUGGAAAAUCUGUCAACAUUUGUUUGGGUAAUGAAGUCUUACAAAUAAUUGGCUCAUUGCCAUAGUUGCUUGGCACAGACAGCAGAAAAUGUAGAAGCUUCACUCAUGCAUCAGGGUUCAUCUGCUUACACUGAAAUUUAAGGGGUGAAGAGUCAUCAGGAGCAAAGGGACACUCAAGAUGUUUGAAUUACAUGAAAAUUGUGAGUGAAUGCACUCAGAGAUUCGUGUAGCUAUAAACCAACUGAUUUGGGUAUUUACUUUA
Long non-coding RNA from Neopelma chrysocephalum (saffron-crested tyrant-manakin), 616 nucleotides. RefSeq lists it as uncharacterized. NCBI's taxonomy places the organism in Eukaryota, Metazoa, Chordata, Aves, Passeriformes, Pipridae. The record is from RefSeq and is a predicted model, not a curated record. The transcript is spliced from 3 exons.